CCUACGGGUGGCUGCAGUGGGGAAUAUUGCACAAUGGGCGCAAGCCUGAUGCAGCCAUGCCGCGUGUGUGAAGAAGGCCUUCGGGUUGUAAAGCACUUUCAGCGGGGAGGAAGGCGGUGAGGUUAAUAACCUCAUCGAUUGACGUUACCCGCAGAAGAAGCACCGGCUAACUCCGUGCCAGCAGCCGCGGUAAUACGGAGGGUGCAAGCGUUAAUCGGAAUUACUGAGCGUAAAGCGCACGCAGGCGGUCUGUCAAGUCGGAUGUGAAAUCCCCGGGCUCAACCUGGGAACUGCAUUCGAAACUGGCAGGCUAGAGUCUUGUAGAGGGGGGUAGAAUUCCAGGUGUAGCGGUGAAAUGCGUGGAGAUCUGGAGGAAUACCGGUGGCGAAGGCGGCCCCCUGGACAAAGACUGACGCUCAGGUGCGAAAGCGUGGGGAGCAAACAGGAUUAGAUACCCUAGUAGUC
Molecule: ribosomal RNA, 465 nt
Filed under: uncultured Klebsiella sp.
Lineage: Bacteria; Pseudomonadati; Pseudomonadota; Gammaproteobacteria; Enterobacterales; Enterobacteriaceae
Description: bacterial SSU rRNA
Rfam family: Bacterial small subunit ribosomal RNA
Source: RNAcentral